RNAcentral lists this ribosomal RNA (177 nucleotides) under uncultured bacterium. Its description in RNAcentral is "partial 16S ribosomal RNA". It matches the Rfam family "Bacterial small subunit ribosomal RNA", at positions 1322 to 1500 of the family's 1533-position model. The record is from RNAcentral.
GAAGCUGGAAUCGCUAGUAAUCGCGGAUCAGAAUGCCGCGGUGAAUACGUUCCCGGGUCUUGUACACACCGCCCGUCACACCAUGGGAGUUGGGAAUACCCGAAGCCUGUGAGCUAACGUAAGAGGCAGCAGUCGAAGGUAGAAUCAAUGAUUGGGGUGAAGUCGUAACAAGGUAAC